RNAcentral lists this transfer RNA (84 nucleotides) under Echinostoma caproni. It matches the Rfam family "tRNA". Rfam says of the family: Transfer RNA (tRNA) molecules are approximately 80 nucleotides in length. Their secondary structure includes four short double-helical elements and three loops (D, anti-codon, and T loops). Lineage: Eukaryota; Metazoa; Platyhelminthes; Trematoda; Plagiorchiida; Echinostomatidae. The record is from Rfam by way of RNAcentral.
GGCCUCGUAGGUCAGCUGGUAGAGCGUGCGCUGUACAAAAUCGUAGGCGGCGUUCAUGCGUGGGUUCAAAUCUCACCGAGGCUA